GGGGAAAGAAGACCCUGUUGAGCUUGACUCUAGUUUGACAUUGUGAAAAGACAUAGGGGGUGUAGAAUAGGUGGGAGCUUCGGCGCCGGUGAAAUACCACUACCCUUAUCGUUUUUUUACUUAAUCAAUGAAGCGGAACUGGUCUUCAUCGACCAUUUUCUUGCAUUAAAGUCCUUCGCGGGCUGAUCCGGGUUGAUGACAUUGUCAGGUGGGGAGUUUGGCUGGG
This 226-nucleotide ribosomal RNA is filed under the name Alexandrium tamarense. RNAcentral's name for it is "partial Eukaryotic large subunit ribosomal RNA". It matches the Rfam family "Eukaryotic large subunit ribosomal RNA", at positions 2399 to 2629 of the family's 3401-position model. Lineage: Eukaryota; Dinophyceae; Gonyaulacales; Pyrocystaceae. The record is from RNAcentral.